UGUCGUUCGAAAAUACCAGUGUGAUUACGUUAGAAGGUUAAUACAACUGGAACAUAACAAUGAAUAUAGGCGUUUACUUACGUUAUUUGAGGUAACGAUAGAACUUCGUAAAACGACAACGGCGGAAUGGGUACAAUACAAAGAAUAUAAUCAACUACACUGACGACUAGGGUAAGUGUCGACGGAUCGAUGAACGGAUGGAAGUAUACGCACGUAUGGAUAGCAAUAUUUGAUACCAGAGGCCCCAGGGCUUCUCAAAUUUGUAUACAACUGUUCCAAACCAAACCUUAUCACGGUUCGGUCCAUGUUCUUAAAUUAUUUGGACCAUAAGAAAUACUCGGACACGAAAUUAUUAUAUUUUAAAUCUAAAGUGAACGGCAAGCAUCAAGCAAUAAAAACACAAAUCACUAGUAUAUGUUCGCAUCUUCAAUAUAAUUUUGAGACUAUUAAGGAUAUUAAGUUUAACUUUGAAGAAUAAUUAAUAAUAAAUCUUGAAGAAUGAGAAUCAUUUUUAAUAAAUAUUAUAUUAUACUAAAAACAUACACUCUGAUAACAUAUGAAUUUGCAUGUAAGUAUAGGAAAAAUAUGGAUACCUAUUAACUCACGUAUUAUGAUUACUCUAUUACAUUAGAAUAUUUUUAAACUACGGUGGAUAGGUUAUGAACAUUUAGGUGCGUACCAAUAAGAUUAUUCUUGUUUUAGCAGAUUAUCAAUUGUAGUAAGUAAUAUGAAGGAAUAGAUGAAUUCCAGGAGAUUAAAGUAAAGAAAUUAUUUACGAUAUGAGUAUUCUCGUUCGAAAAUACUUGUGUGAUUACGUUAGAAGGUUAAUACAGCUGGAACAUAACAAUAAAUAUAGGCGUUUACUUACGUUAUUCGUAGUGACGAUAGAACUUCGUAAAACGACAACGGCGGAAUGGGUACGACACAAAGAAUAUAAUCAACUACACUGACGACUAGGGUAAGUGUCGACGGAUCGAUGAACGGAUGGAAGUAUACGCACGUAUGGAUAGCAAUAUUUGAUACCAGAGGCCCCAGGGCUUCUCAAAUUUGUAUACAACUGUUCCAAACCAAACCUUAUCACGGUUCGGUCCAUAUUCUUAAAUUAUUUGGACCAUAAGAAAUACUCGGACACGAAAUUAUUAUAUUUUAAAUCUAAAGUGAACGGCAAGCAUCAAGCAAUAAAAACACAAAUCACUAGUAUAUGUUCGCAUCUUCAAUAUAAUUUUGAGACUAUUAAGGAUAUUUAGUUUAACUUUGAAGAAUAAUUAAUAAUAAAUCUUGAAGAAUGAGAAUCAUUUUAAUAAAUAUUAUAUUAUACUAAAAACAUACACUCNAAGUGUCGACGGAUCGAUGAACGGAUGGAAGUAUACGCACGUAUGGAUAGCAAUAUUUGAUACCAGAGGCCCCAGGGCUUCUCAAAUUUGUAUACAACUGUUCCAAACCAAACCUUAUCACGGUUCGGUCCAUGUUCUUAAAUUAUUUGGACCAUAAGAAAUACUCGGACACGAAAUUAUUAUAUUUUAAAUCUAAAGUGAACGGCAAGCAUCAAGCAAUAAAAACACAAAUCACUAGUAUAUGUUCGCAUCUUCAAUAUAAUUUUGAGACUAUUAAGGAUAUUAAGUUUAACUUUGAAGAAUAAUUAAUAAUAAAUCUUGAAGAAUGAGAAUCAUUUUUAAUAAAUAUUAUAUUAUACUAAAAACAUACACUCUGAUAACAUAUGAAUUUGCAUGUAAGUAUAGGAAAAAUAUGGAUACCUAUUAACUCACGUAUUAUGAUUACUCUAUUACAUUAGAAUAUUGUUAACCUACGGUGGAUAGGUAAUGAACAUUUAGGUGCGUACCAAUAUGAUUAUUCUUGUUUUAGCAGAUAGUCAAUUGUAGUAAGUGAUAUAUAGGAAUAGAUGAAUUCCAGGAGAUUAAAGUAAAGAAAUUAUUUACGAUAUGAGUAUUCUCGUUCGAAAAUACUUGUGUGAUUACGUUAGAAGGUUAAUACAGCUGGAACAUAACAAUGAAUAUAGGCGUUUACUUACGUUAUUUGAGGUAACGAUAGAACUUCGUAAUUGACAACGGCGGAAUGGGUACAAAACAAAAAGUAAAAACAACUACACUGACCGCUAGGGUAAGUGUCGACGGAUCGAUGAACAAAUGGAAGUUUACGCACGUAUGGAUAGCAAUAUUUGACACCAGAGGCCCCAGGGCUUCCCAAAUUUCUAUAAAACUGUUCCAAACCAAACCUUAUCACGGUUCGGUCCAUAUUCUUAAAUUAUUUGGACCAUAAGAAAUACUCGGACACGAAAUUAUUAUAUUUUAAAUCUAAAGUGAACGGCAAGCAUCAAGCAAUAAAAACACAAAUCACUAGUAUAUGUUCGCAUCUUCAAUAUAAUUUUGAGACUAUUAAGGAUAUUAAGUUUAACUUUGAAGAAUAAUUAAUAAUAAAUCUUGAAGAAUGAGAAUCGUUUUUAAUAAAUAUUAUAUUAUACUAAAAACAUACACUCUGAUAACAUAUGAAUUUGCAUGUAAGUAUAGGAAAAAUAUGGAUACCUAUUAACUCACGUAUUAUGAUUACUCUAUUACAUUAGAAUAUUUUUAACCUACGGUGGAUAGGUUAUGAACAUUUAGGUGCGUACCAAUAAGAUUAUUCUUGUUUUAGCAGAUUAUCAAUUGUAGUAAGUAAUAUAUAGGAAUAGAUGAAUUCCAGGAGAUUAAAGUAAAGAAAUUAUUUACGAUAUGAGUAUUCUCGUUCGAAAAUACUUGUGUGAUUACGUUAGAAGGUUAAUACAGCUGGAACAUAACAAUAAAUAUAGGCGUUUACUUACGUUAUUCGUAGUGACGAUAGAACUUCGUAAAACGACAACGGCGGAAUGGGUACGACACAAAAGAUAAAAACAACUACACUGACCGCUAGUGUAAGUGUCGACGGAUCGAUGAACGGAUGGAAGUAUACGCACGUAUGGAUAGCAAUAUUUGAUACCAGAGGUCCCAGGGCUUCCCAAAUUUGUAUACAACUGUUCCAAACCAAACCUUAUCACGGUUCGGUCCAUGUUCUUAAAUUAUUUGGNACAUAACAAUAAAUAUAGGCGUUUACUUACGUUAUUCGUAGUGACGAUAGAACUUCGUAAAACGACAACGGCGGAAUGGGUACGACACAAAGAAUAUAAUCAACUACACUGACGACUAGGGUAAGUGUCGACGGAUCGAUGAACGGAUGGAAGUAUACGCACGUAUGAAUAGCAAUAUUUGAUACCAGAGGCCCCAGGGCUUCUCAAAUUUGUAUACAACUGUUCCAAACCAAACCUUAUCACGGUUCGGUCCAUAUUCUUAAAUUAUUUGGACCAUAAGAAAUACUCGGACACGAAAUUAUUAUAUUUUAAAUCCAAAGUGAACGGCAAGCAUCAAGCAAUAAAAACACAAAUCACUAGAAUAUGUUCGCAUUUUCAAUAUAAUUUUGAGA
Molecule: long non-coding RNA, 3450 nt
Filed under: Cinara cedri
Lineage: Eukaryota; Metazoa; Arthropoda; Insecta; Hemiptera; Aphididae
Source: RNAcentral